GCUUAACACAUGCAAGUCGAGGGGCAUCAGGACGAUAGCUUGCUAUUGUUGCUGGCGACCGGCGCACGGGUGAGUAACGCGUAUCCAACCUGGCCCUUAGUAGGGGAUAGCCCGGCGAAAGUCGGAUUAAUACCCUAUGUUUUCCUUUGAUGGCAUCUGAUUUGGAAUAAAGAUUGAUCGCUAAGGGAUGGGGAUGCGUCUGAUUAGGUAGUAGGCGGGGUAACGGCCCACCUAGCCAACGAUCAGUAGGGGUUCUGAGAGGAAGGUCCCCCACAUUGGUACUGAGACACGGACCAAACUCCUACGGGAGGCAGCAGUGAGGAAUAUUGGUCAAUGGACGAGAGUCUGAACCAGCCAAGUAGCGUGCAGGAAGACUGCCCUAUGGGUUGUAAACUGCUUUUAUGCGGGAAUAAAGUUCGGCACGUGUGCCGUUUUGUAUGUACCGCAUGAAUAAGGACCGGCUAAUUCCGUGCCAGCAGCCGCGGUAAUACGGAAGGUCCGGGCGUUAUCCGGAUUUAUUGGGUUUAAAGGGAGCGCAGGCCGAAGGUUAAGCGUGACGUGAAAUGUACCGGCUCAACCGGUGACUUGCGUCGCGAACUGGCUUUCUUGAGUGAGUACGACGUCAGCGGAAUUCGUGGUGUAGCGGUGAAAUGCUUAAGAUAUCACGAACAACCCCGAUUGCGAAGCAGCUGACGAGUCCUUAACUGACGCUAAUGCUCGA
This 721-nucleotide ribosomal RNA is filed under the name uncultured rumen bacterium. RNAcentral's name for it is "bacterial SSU rRNA". It matches the Rfam family "Bacterial small subunit ribosomal RNA", at positions 46 to 756 of the family's 1533-position model. The record is from RNAcentral.